GUGUUUGGUUAAACCCUUGCAGUGGUUCACCUUCGAAUGUUGUUGCCGGAAAUGAAUUCAGUGGCGGUGAGACUUGCGAAGCAUCUCCGAGUCUCUAGUCUGACCUCAUCUUCUCUCGGUGGUGUGACGAGAAGCGGAACGUUAUGGUACUCGACGUCUCCAUCUGGAGGUGAAGAUGAUCAGCCUUCACAUGAUAAUGGUGAACCGAAGAACGAAGAAUUAGAUGAAGGGUUUGAUGAGCUUCUUGAUGGAAGGCCCGAGCUACAACUGCAAGGUGUGGAUCCCAAAAGGGGUUGGGGAUUUCGGGGUGUGCACAAGGCAAUUAUUUGUGGCAAAGUUGGUCAGGCCCCUGUACAGAAGAUAUUGAGGAAUGGUAAAAAUGUAACCAUCUUUACAGUUGGGACAGGGGGCAUGUUUGAUCAGAGAAUUGGACCAAAGGAUUUGCCAAAGCCUGCUCAAUGGCAUCGGAUUGCUGUGCAUAAUGACAUGCUGGGGGCCUAUUCAGUACAAAAACUCUUUAAAAACUCUUCAGUCUAUAUUGAAGGUGACAUUGAAACUAGAGUUUAUAAUGAUAGCAUCAAUGGUGAAGUUAAAAGCAUUCCAGAGAUAUGUGUUCGCCGUGAUGGGAGAAUUCGCCUCAUCAAGAGUGGAGAGAGCAUUGACAAAACUUCCUUGGAUGAAUUGCGUGAAGGGUUGUUUUAGAGGAAAUUUGACCAUCUAACGGAAGCAUCUACUUCUACUGACAGGAGGUCGAUCAAAAUUCUAUUAUGACUGGUAUUUCUGCCACGGACUACGCAUCCGUCAAGCACUGAAGAACUUGGCAUUUCCUCUACGACCCUGCAGUGUAGGACGGUAUCAUACCCGGAGCUAAUGUAUUUCGUGAAACUCUGUCAUAGCAAAUACUAAAAUGCAGGAGACAGGUUUGUUUAUUACCUGCUUGUAACAAUCCAAAUCCAGCACUACUUUUUUGUCCACAAUUAAAACCUUAUUGUAGACGAGUUAUUUAUUGACUAUAAUUUAUUUCUUCCAAUAUACUUCAUUUCAUUGGUUA
Vigna unguiculata (cowpea) is the source of this 1051-nucleotide RNA transcript. It is a transcript of the gene named mitochondrially targeted single-stranded DNA binding protein, with no coding region annotated. The record is from RefSeq and is a predicted model, not a curated record. NCBI's taxonomy places the organism in Eukaryota, Viridiplantae, Streptophyta, Magnoliopsida, Fabales, Fabaceae.